UUAGCAACGUUGAAACUCGAAUUGAACGAAGCCAGAAGGUACGAUCCUGCUGUUAGUUUCUUUUUUCUCCUUUUAAUAAAAUUGGGUUUCUUUCGCCGUCUUACCGAUGUUAUUGUAUAUCGGAUACGUAACGCGAAAGAAAAAGAAAACAGUUGUUUUCAUAGUUUUGUUAGAAAUAGUGACUAGUGCCUCAUUGAAAGUAUCGCAAAUUAAGGACUUUAAAAGAAUCAACGAAUUAUUAAAAUUCGUAUUAAAAUACAGGACGUUUCUUUUAUUUAAAUCAUCAAUGUUGUAGAGUAUUUACCGUCGAUGGAUGAACAUCGCCUCGGCUGCCGAAGGAACGAUUUCCAGUGAAUUAUCUUAAUAAUUAUUGGUGCCGAAUAACGAGGAUGGAACGGAAAUGAGAGAUCGAAUCUUCUGAUGGCUUCAUCAACGAAACGUAAAUAUACUAUAAUUUAUUUUUUACGCUUAUAUUAUAAUCUCGUAAAUAUGUUAGAAUUAAUAUGAUAUAAGUAAACGUUAUUUUUAAGAAACGAUUUUCGCAAAUUUUCAAUAUUAUUAGCGUCAAUAUUAUUAGCGUCUUUAUCGUCGAAAUAAUUCUCAUCUUUUUUUUUUAUUAAUAUUUGAUAAACGUAUUACGUCGUAAUAAAAGAACGUAGUAGUAAGAGAACGAAUUCGUGAGAACUGCGUACCUUCGUGUAUGUAAACAGACCACAGACACACAUAAUACACACACCAACGACGAGCUCUUUCAUGGAGAAGUUUCUACACAACCAAGAGGACCAACUUUUCGGGAGUAUCGAACCAACUCUACCGUUUCUCUCGGUGGUCCCUUCGUCCUCCACCCUUCCUCGUCCCUCCCCCAUCCCCAGCAUCCACCGUGGUCCCGGAGAACUCUACUUUGGUGAUGGUGUCCUGUCGCCUGUGUUGUCCGACUCGUUGCCAAAAUUUGGUAAUGAUUGAUGGCCAUUAAAGAGUGGGCCAACCUUGUUCGUAACCUUCGUAAAAGAUAGUUGAAACUUACACAUAACCAAAUACGAUGCUAAUUACAUUUUGAGAUCUUUCUUUUGAUGCAAAAUCGGACAAGAACGUAGCUACGAGAUGACGGUACCCUCGCCUUAGCUUGUAGAAAGAGUGAAAAGAAUUUAAAAAAAAAAAAAUAAUGUAAAGAACUGAAAUAAUUGAAUUUUAUAUAUUUUAAAAAUAUUAUCACGUUUCCUUUUCGUGUUUUAAUUAUCGUAAUAAAUAAUGAGUUAUUUAUAAAUUAUUUAGAUAUUCUCUGCUACAGAAGAAAAACGUCUAAAAAUUUAUGCACGUCAUUGGGUGAUAGAAAUACGAACUCAACGUGGAUAUAAUUAUCAGAACGUUCGUCAAAAUAUUCCGUAUAUAUAUAUUAUGCUUCCGAAGGAUUAUGAUUUAAAUAUUUUUUUGUAUUUCUUUUGAAAUAAGUUAAUGAUAAGAAUAAUCCUCAAUCAUUUGUUUUGUUUUCUUAUUUUUUUUUUUUAAUUUAUUUUAGCAUCUUAUUUAGUAUAUUAUGUAUAUUUAAUUUAUGAUAAUUAUUCUUUUAAUUUAUAAUAAUUAUUUUAAAUAGAUAGUAAUAUCUUUUUAUAUGUUCAUAUAUAAUAUGUGCGAUGUUAAAACAUAUCUUUUAAUAAUAUACGAUCGGCAAUUUAUCCUUAAAAUAUUUCGUUAUUAUAUCAGCAUACAUUCAAUAGAAUGAUCAUUAUUUUUUAUGAUGUUGCAUAUGUAUUUCUCUGAACGAUCGUAAAAUCGAUUUAAAUAUUUCGACGUUUAAACUUUUCUUUACCGUUACUAGCAAGCUACGAAGAAAGUGUAGGGCAAGGAGAGGAUGGGAGCUACUGUAGGGGGAGGUAGCGAGCGAGUCGAUAGAAAAGGUCAAAGGUUUCAGGUGUGUUUGCAUUUCGCCCACGGCUGCUACAGGUGCAGCCUCUUCCGCGGCUCUGCUCGCCGUUGCAACAGCAACAUGUAUGACUCUUUAUUAACAACAAUUAACAUUUAUCCAUUGUUCAUACGGGAAUAGUUUUCACUGGACACAAAAGCUUGUAAUUAGUUGUCCGACUCGUAAGAGACCGAGAGUACCGAGAGAGUAUCCCUACUGGAACCCCAUAAGCUCUCAUUUGAAAUCUCAUCAUCAUUAUAAGCUGACGUUAUUUUUCUUUUUUUUAAACAUUUACAAGCUACGAAGAUUUUUUUUCUAACAAUUUUGUUGUUUCCUUUGGACAAAAAUUUCUGUUUGAAAAAUAUUCGAACAGAUUUCGAAAUUUCGAUAAUUUUCUUUCCUUUUUUUUUUUUUUUUAAUAACUAUCCCGAAUUUUUAAGUAGGUACUUAACUACAUAGCGUAAAUUAAUGAGUUGUGUGAAUUGUGUGAAUACA
Long non-coding RNA from Vespula vulgaris, 2395 nucleotides. RefSeq lists it as uncharacterized. The record is from RefSeq and is a predicted model, not a curated record. Lineage: Eukaryota; Metazoa; Arthropoda; Insecta; Hymenoptera; Vespidae. The transcript is spliced from 3 exons.